Haplochromis burtoni (Burton's mouthbrooder) is the source of this 4887-nucleotide long non-coding RNA. RefSeq lists it as uncharacterized. The transcript has 2 exons. The record is from RefSeq and is a predicted model, not a curated record. Lineage: Eukaryota; Metazoa; Chordata; Actinopteri; Cichliformes; Cichlidae.
GCUGAGAAACACAAGGGCCAUGCUUUUAAAGUACAGACGGUCACAAACAAGCACAUGUGUCACUGUCAAAGCCUAGUACACGCUUCUGUUCCCGCUUCCGCAAUGAGCGGCUGGAUGUUCACGAAGGGAAAGGAUGUGAAAAAAACCCUGCUGGUCUCAGAAUUUUACUGAUAGAAGGAAUUUGUUCAAUGCAGGCCGUUUAUCUGCAAUUGAUCGAUGAUCUAAGCUGAUAAAUGUCUCUAUAUCUCUGUUUGCCUCAGGAACAGUGUCCAGUGAGUUCAUUUGUUUAUGUUUAAAACAGGGUGUGGCCCCAAGGACAGACAAGCUCCAUGGCUUUGCAAAGAUUCAUGCUUCGUGUCUUCCUGCUGCACUUCAAUUCUGACGCAAAUGUCAUUUAAAUGGCAGCGCUUUUCCAUACUUCAAACUUCCUCUUUGCCGGAGGGUGUGUGUGAGAGGUUUAUCGUGCCAAGACUUUGUCCCUGUGUCUAUUUAUAUCUGCUGCUGUUGAAUGAGUCAGCAGACCGCAAAGUCCAUCGGAGCCGGGCAGUAAAAUCUCCUCAGAACAACACACAGAAGUGCUGCUGAUAACGGGCGCGAGGUUGAAGGUGCACAGAUGUAACCAUAAAGAACUCCGCCACACUGGUCAAGUCAUACAUUGAUGGAUGGGAUUACAGAUCAACAUGCAACUGGCUGAGAUACUUACAGCGAGGAAGAGCAUGCAGUACAUGGAAAAAGACGAGUGGCCGGAGUAGAACGAGAGCCUGCAACAGAGAGACAAAAGCACAGCUCAACACCCGAGUAAGGACAUGUUUUUAUUAACACAGCGGUCUGAGCUGACUGGAGAGUCCCCGGCUUUAGUUAGCUCUCGUUUGAAACACCACAUCAGCAGUCAUGUGCACACACUGUGGAUACUGUGGCACAAUUUUCCCAGUCAGGAGGCUUUUACUGAUCAGAUUUAGGGCCUGGACUGCAGCGCAGAACAACCUGCUGCUUGUUGAAAAUCAGUGGAUUAUGUGGAGGAAUUUGAAAAAAUCCGCCACUGCGUUAAGGAUCUCUAUAAACCAAUACUUGCAAUACUCUGCUUUAAAUUCAACAUCUUAUUUCCCCUAACCCUAGAGAGCCAGGUUAGCAUGAGCCCCAGGAGCUGGAAUAAACGAGAAAUAUACUAGGUUGUAAUAAAAACCCAGAAUUAUCCUUUGACCUAAAAGCACACUUUAGGCCCAGAGCUGCUAACAUGACACUUAUUUUCUUUAAAAGCUCUACAGGAAAUCCCCACAAAAUGGCAAAGCUGAAAAUCUUCAUCAUCAUUAACAAUUAAGCUAAUCUAUAAAUCAACUCCCCAGCAGCGACUGUUAGUUACACCCAGCAGAGUAAACGAUAACAAUGCCGACCUCCAUAAAUCCCCAACAGUGGCAUCAGAUUAGGACUGUGGCACCCUGUGUGGGAUCACAGGAUGAAAAAUUCAUGAUUGCCACCUUACAAAUCAAUAUUUGUGAUUUCACGUCCAUGGAAACGAACUCAAUCGUUGACAGUGAGCUGUGUUUUUGCUGGGCAGUAAACCUUAGACACAGAGGUGUCAUAUUACUGUAAGAUGAUGCUGGGCAGUCUAUCUCAGCCUCCUCUCUCCUCUCCUGUUGCAGUUAUUAGAUGCAUUAGAGUCCAGCAGAUGCCAACAAAGACAGGGAGCAGCUUUUUAUUUAAAAAAAAAAAGCAGACUGCUGAGUAAUAAUGGUGCUCCAGGAAGCAAUGAUUGUGCACCACGCCCUGAUACACGUACAGCAGAUACCCCAGAGCGGUAAAGGGUAGGUGGGCCCUUUACGCUCAAGGGCCGCAGCUCGAGCAAAACGUUUCCCCGUCUCGCUUUAAACAGAUAAAGAAGGGGAGAAGCAAAUGUAACGUAAACCUCCUCACAGCCCAUAAUAAACACGCAUCACUCCUCUGUGGCCGGGGCCUCCGUCAGACUGAGAAGAGGAAAUCCUCUCCUCCCAAUACUCUUCCUCCUGCUCUGAGCCGAUAAGAGACAGAGACCUUAAAUCAAAAUACGCUUUACAUUCCUGUGAUAUUACUCAAAGCGGCUCGCGCUGCAGCUGCGCACAUUACAGAAGUCACCCAUUUAGCACAUCUAAACACUUCUCAGCUGUGUUUUUUAAAAACGAUCUUUAUCUAUGCCAGAAGAUCAUUAAUGAUGACUGUACUAUGAAGGAGUGCAACAUAAACAAGGUUUGCUUCCCUUCCCUAACGACCAAAAUCAAAUCAAGCGGUCAUGUGGUUCUCAACUGAAUUAACUGACCCGGCUUUUCUGGGUCUCGGUAUGAGCGGUGGCGCUAACGCCGCCGGUGGCGGUAAACAAUGGACAAUGGAUGGGAGUAAAGCUGGAUAUUUCUUACAAGAACAUUAUAAAGAACAAAUAAGACUUCAGAAGUAUAAUCCUGCUGCAGCCUCAGCCAGGAAGGACAAAUACAUUUAGGCUGUGUGAAUCUAAAAAUGAAUUACUGUGUGCUUAUAGAUCAUUAGUUAUUAUUAAUCUCUGGCUUUCUUCCACAGUGUGUCUUUAUGUCCUGUCUGCCUCCCAUCAACCCCAACAGAUCGCAGCAGUUGUGUACUUACAAAUACAGCUCAUGGUUGCGGCUGCUGAACCACUAUCUCCUGCAGGAUAUGGUGCUGAGUAAGUGCUGAGAAUCUAGCUUAUUUAUAAUAUCAAAAGGGGCCAUCUCAACUCAGUCUUACACGUAUAACUGGAACCUACAUAUUUCUCACAUUGGAGUGACGUUGCUAGGUUUGAUGUGCUUGUUCUCAUUUACGCUUCAGUAAUAGAUGCAAGUGAUGCUGAGCACAAGCUGAAAGUCAGAAGCACAACUCUAAAACGGCUAUUCAGAGGUUGUUCAGUGACAUGCUUCACCUCUGCCCUUUGUGCUUACGCUGUGAACAUGUUACAAAACAAUGGCCUGAGGAUUUUUCCAAUAAUCAGCUCAACAACAAGAAAACCCCAAAACAAACAAAGCUGGUGUGCAUAAAGUUGGAAAAGAGGUGUUCGUUUCAACAUCUGAAAUCAAAAAAAGAAACAAAUUCAUUCUUAUUUGAACUCGGGCUGCAACCGCUAAUUUCAAAUCUAAACAUCAGAAUAAAAAGAUGAAUCAGAGUCCAUGGUGAUCUGUUUAAAUGGUUUGCUUUUUUCCAAUAAAAGGCCAGCUAGACAUUAUACAACAUAAAGCACUGAAUCAUCACACUCGAGAAGCUAGCCUAGACAUCAUUUUUGCUCUGUGCUUGGAGCUCUGCUUUCCUGGUGCUGGGUCAUACAUACCGGGCCUCGUUGACCUGCUUCGCGUCUCCAGUGCAGGUAAAGUCUUCGAUGUAAGUCCCUGCCGAGCAGUUGAUCAGUUUCCAGUCGGGUCUGCACAAAUCCAGGAAGUGCGGCCUAAGCCGGCCGAUUGAAUACUUGGCGAUGUCCGUCAGAGACUGGCUCAUGGCGGCACCGAAAACGAAGGUGCCGAUGGCUUUGUAAAGGCAGGCAACGUAGCUGCCGAAAGACGACUUGGACUUGAUGCGGUUUAGAUGAACUAAAAGACACUCGCCAACAAUCAUCUGCAACGAGGGGCGGGAGGACACAGAGUUACACCUUUAUACAGAAUGACAGGGUGACACAUUUAAAAAGAAGAUGCAGAUAAAUGAACGUCGGAGGCAAAAUCCCAGGAUCAUUGUUUUGAUUUUGUUUUUGAAGACUCGUCUAUGAUGAUUUGCUUCUUAAACAAGAAUUAGAUCAGAAGAUUGACUCUUCUGUCAAAUCAGGACCUGAAUAUAAACCCACAAAUUAGCAAAGACUGGACAUGUGGUUAUGAAUAAUUCAAUUAAAUCUCAUUUAUAUAGCACCAAAUCACAAACACAGCCACCUCAAGCUGCUUUAUCCUGUAAGGUAAAGACUCUACAAUAAUGCAGAGAAAACCCCAACAACCAGACAAACCCCUUUGAACAAGCACUUGGUGACAGUGGGAAGGAAAAACUCCCUUUUAACAGGAAGAAACCUCCAACAGAACCAGACACAGAGCGGAGCCAACUUUGAAUCUGUGCUAUUUCUUCAUUUCCAGUUUUUAUGCUAAGAUUAUGACAUUAAAUAAUGAAAGAAAUGUCUGACAAAUUAGGUUUUUUUGAUCUUCGGAUCUAAUCCUUUACAACGAAGAAAAUCCUUCUCAUAAUGCUGCUUUCGAAAUACAUAAAUGCUCAUUUGACGGUAAUCAGAAGGGCUCUGCAACAGCUGCUGAGGUCACAGGAGGAUGUCCACUUAACACAGUAAGCCUCUCUUUCAGUUCAUCUGAAACUUUAAAUGAAACCUGAGGCUUAUGAGCACGUUAUCAUGUUUCUGCAACGAUAUGAACAGGCAACAGGCCUCGAAGGCUUAAACAAACACACUGCUUCUUCAUUAUUACUUUACAGCAGAAGAGCUGCUUUAUCUCGACUUACAGUUAAAAAUAGUGUAGGUUUAACAACUCUAAAUAGCCAUGUCAUUACUUAAAACGAUAAAACCUGACCUCCGUCAUCACUAGAAGGUUUGCGUAGACCUUCACAUCUGUAGGUUACACAUCUGCUCUAUUUUAAAGCCCGAGGCGGCAGAUUAGGUCAGGUUAAAAAAAACAAACCCCUACCUCUUUUCUGUUUCCUCAUUAAAUGUAGAACAUUCAAAAAAUGAUUUGAACAAAUCAAACUGCUGGCACAUUAGUAGAGUGGGGUUAAAAGGUUUUUUAAAAAGCAAAACAAAUCAUGCAUUGAGGAUUAGAACCAUGCAGUUCCAUUAAGCAGGGUCACGAGUAUAAGAAGAAAAAAGAAGUGGAUGAAAGCAGUCAGCAAAACACCAAACUGAAGAAGAGUAAAAAAAAAAAAAAAGAUGUACAGAAG